UUGGUGUUCCUCCAACCCUGAGGUCCUAGA
This 30-nucleotide non-coding RNA is filed under the name Mus musculus (house mouse). The record is from RNAcentral. Lineage: Eukaryota; Metazoa; Chordata; Mammalia; Rodentia; Muridae.